Long non-coding RNA from Toxotes jaculatrix (banded archerfish), 187 nucleotides. RefSeq lists it as uncharacterized. Lineage: Eukaryota; Metazoa; Chordata; Actinopteri; Toxotidae. The record is from RefSeq and is a predicted model, not a curated record. The transcript has 3 exons.
GUGUGGUGCUGCUAUGGCUGCCAUUCAUUGGAGAGCUUCAAGCUAGCUUUAAGACUUCCUCUUAUGGGGUUGAGCCUGGUAUUGCUUACCAGCCCCAGGUUCCCAGCUACGAGCCCCAGCCCCAGGUGCCCAGCUACCAGCCCCAGCCCCAGGUGCCCAGCUACCAGCCCCAGCCCCAGGUGCCCAG